This 422-nucleotide ribosomal RNA is filed under the name uncultured bacterium. RNAcentral describes it as "bacterial SSU rRNA". It matches the Rfam family "Bacterial small subunit ribosomal RNA", at positions 355 to 774 of the family's 1533-position model. The record is from RNAcentral.
UAAGGAAUAUUGGACAAUGGAGGCAACUCUGAUCCAGCCAUGCCGCGUGAAGGAAUAAGGCCCUAUGGGUUGUAAACUUCUUUUAGACGGGACAAAACCCCUUUACGUGUAAAGGGUUGAUGGUACUGUCAGAAUAAGCAUCGGCUAACUUCGUGCCAGCAGCCGCGGUAAUACGAAGGAUGCAAGCGUUAUCCGGAAUUAUUGGGUUUAAAGGGUGCGUAGGCGGACUAAUAAGUCAGUGGUGAAAGCCUGCAGCUUAACUGCAGAAUUGCCAUUGAUACUUUUAGUCUUGAGUACAGUUGAGGUAGGCGGAAUGUGUCAUGUAGCGGUGAAAUGCUUAGAUAUGACACAGAACACCGAUUGCGAAGGCAGCUUGCUAAGCUGUAACUGACGCUGAGGCACGAAAGCGUGGGGAGCAAACA